This 317-nucleotide ribosomal RNA is filed under the name uncultured bacterium. RNAcentral's name for it is "bacterial SSU rRNA". It matches the Rfam family "Bacterial small subunit ribosomal RNA", at positions 28 to 334 of the family's 1533-position model. The record is from RNAcentral.
GAUGAACGCUAGCUACAGGCUUAACACAUGCAAGUCGAGGGGCAUCAGGAAGAAAGCUUGCUUUCUUUGCUGGCGACCGGCGCACGGGUGCGUAACACGUAUGUAACCUGGCCUUUACAGGGGGAUAGUCAGAGGAAACUUUGAAUAAUACCCCAUAACACACCAUUAAGGCAUCUUAAAGGUGUUAAAGGAGCGAUCCGGUAAAGGAUGGGCAUGCGACCGAUUAGACAGUUGGUGAGGUAACGGCUCACCAAAUCCACGAUCGGUAGGGGGUCUGAGAGGACUACCCCCCACACUGGUACUGAGAUACGGACCAG